Molecule: ribosomal RNA, 570 nt
Filed under: uncultured bacterium
Lineage: Bacteria
Description: bacterial SSU rRNA
Rfam family: Bacterial small subunit ribosomal RNA
Source: RNAcentral
CCUAACACUACAGGAUGGGCCCGCGUCGCAUUAGCUAGUUGGUAAGGUAAUGGCUUACCAAGGCGACGAUGCGUAGCCGACCUGAGAGGGUGAUCGGCCACACUGGGACUGAGACACGGCCCAGACUCCUACGGGAGGCAGCAGUAGGGAAUCUUCCGCAAUGGACGAAAGUCUGACGGAGCAACGCCGCGUGAACGAUGAAGGCCUUCGGGUCGUAAAGUUCUGUUGUUAGGGAAGAACAAGUACCGUUCGAAUAGGUCGGUACCUUGACGGUACCUAACGAGAAAGCCACGGCUAACUACGUGCCAGCAGCCGCGGUAAUACGUAGGUGGCAAGCGUUGUCCGGAAUUAUUAGGCGUAAAGCGCGCGCAGGCGGUUUCUUAAGUCUGAUGUGAAAGCCCACGGCUCAACCGUGGAGGGUCAUUGGAAACUGGGAGACUUGAGUGCAGAAGAGGAGAGUGGAAUUCCAUGUGUAGCGGUGAAAUGCGUAGAUAUAUGGAGGAACACCAGUGGCGAAGGCGACUCUCUGGUCUGUAACUGACGCUGAGGCGCGAAAGCGUGGGGAGCAAA